GACGAAGGAUGCAAGCGUUAUCCGGAUUCAUUGGGUUUAAAGGGAGCGUAGGUGGUCUUAUAAGUCAGUGGUGAAAUCUUCUCGCUUAACGGGAAAACUGCCAUUGAUACUGUAGGACUUGAGUAUAGUUGCUGUGGGCGGAAUAUGGCAUGUAUUGGUGAAAUACUUAGAGAUGUCAUAGAACACCGAUUGCGAAGGCAGCUCACAAAACUAUAACCGACACUGAGGCUCGAAAGUGCGGGGAUCAAACAGG
Molecule: ribosomal RNA, 253 nt
Filed under: uncultured bacterium
Lineage: Bacteria
Description: partial 16S ribosomal RNA
Rfam family: Bacterial small subunit ribosomal RNA
Source: RNAcentral